GAUGAACGCUGGCGGCGUGCCUAAUACAUGCAAGUCGAGCGAACGGACGAGAAGCUUGCUUCUCUGAUGUUAGCGGCGGACGGGUGAGUAACACGUGGAUAACCUACCUAUAAGACUGGGAUAACUUCGGGAAACCGUAGCUAAUACCGGAUAAUAUUUUGAACCGCAUGGUUCAAAAGUGAAAGACGGUCUUGCUGUCACUUAUAGAUGGAUCCGCGCUGCAUUAGCUAGUUGGUAAGGUAACGGCUUACCAAGGCAACGAUGCAUAGCCGACCUGAGAGGGUGAUCGGCCACACUGGAACUGAGACACGGUCCAGACUCCUACGGGAGGCAGCAGUAGGGAAUCUUCCGCAAUGGGCGAAAGCCUGACGGAGCAACGCCGCGUGAGUGAUGAAGGUCUUCGGAUCGUAAAACUCUGUUAUUAGGGAAGAACAUAUGUGUAAGGAACUGUGCACAUCUUGACGGUACCUAAUCAGAAAGCCACGGCUAACUACGUG
This 497-nucleotide ribosomal RNA is filed under the name uncultured bacterium. Its description in RNAcentral is "partial 16S ribosomal RNA". It matches the Rfam family "Bacterial small subunit ribosomal RNA", at positions 28 to 507 of the family's 1533-position model. The record is from RNAcentral.